RNAcentral lists this long non-coding RNA (7430 nucleotides) under Nicotiana tabacum (common tobacco). RNAcentral's name for it is "long non-coding RNA (NTAB_LNC010671)". The record is from RNAcentral. Lineage: Eukaryota; Viridiplantae; Streptophyta; Magnoliopsida; Solanales; Solanaceae.
UUUUCAAGACCUAGACACAACCUAAAAAAAACCUAACACAUCUAAGGGAGCCGUUUCUCAUGAUCUGGAACCAAAAAAAACCCUAAGACCAUCAUCUUCCUCAACCUAACACACCUAGGCCCCUAACCUAGAGGAUCCCUGAGAAAUCAGCCGCAUACGCUCCUUCUUGAACCAGCGAAGAACAGAGCUCCAUCAGCCAUCUCCACCUUUCUUCUUCAACCUUCAGACACCCUAACGCCACUUCCCCUCCGGCCAAACCCAAACAGCCGAAACCCAACCCUUUCCUACAAAAUCUUUGGCAGUCGACCACCCUAGAACGACCAUCUCCACCAAACCAUCAGCCGUUGCCAAUUUCCAAACAUUCAAAAUAGCUGAAACAUAACAAAGAGGGGGGGAUAGAAGAUAGAUUUAGAAAGAAAACAAAAAAUACAGAGCGAGAAAAGGGUUUACAAAUAGAGAACAAAGAGAUGCGAGUUUCAAUCCAUCUCUGUUUUUUGUUAAACCACAAAAAACUUCAGCCUUCUUCAACCAUGAAAGCUGUAAAACCAGCUCUAAGAACGUGAAAACAGUAGCUCAAACCACUGCUCGUCGCCGUGAAAAUAGCGGCGUGUGUGUGCGAUUUUCUGAUUCUCGCCGGAAUUUUAGAUCGACUAUUUUUUAAACUUCCCGGCGAAUUUCGAGAUUGUCCGGGUGAGGUAGUCCAAGGUUUAAAAGCAGAAAAAUCGCUUGCGCCCUUCUUCAAUAACUUGGUAAUUGCUUUCUUAAUUGCUUUAACACCCAUCUUACCGGAGGACGGGGACAAAUAAGCCUCUGAAUUCGCCGGAGUUGGAAAGCGCGAGGGUUAUGAUCUUGAUAUAGCUGAAGUUUGGUAAGUUUUGUUUUGACUUAAUAUAAAGGUUUUCAUAUUUACUUGAUAUAGUUUCACUUAAUUUAAGUAAAGAUUUUCCUGAAUUCAGUAUUUUGGCCUUAGUCUUCGAAGCUAUAUGAUCUUGGAUACUAUAAUUAAGGAAAAUGAAUUAUGCUGGUAAUUAUGUUAAGAGUUGUUAUCUUCAGCAUCUUAAUAUUCAUUCAUUUGAUUAUGUAAUCUUGUUUGAAUUGAACUUCUGUGCAUAUAUUGAUUCCAGUGGUUUCGCAAAUGCUUGAGUCUCUUUUCUAGUGAUUGAAUUUAAAUGCAGUCUUUUACUUUUUGUCCCGCAUAUAUUCAUUGCAAUAGUAGUCUUGGAAAGAAAAUGUGUAGGCAAAGUUGUUUGUUUGAAUUAAUAAAAAUAAAGAAUAUCUUUUCAAUAUUAGUUCCGAUUGUAAAGUAGCCAGUUUAACACUGUUCGCUAAUGAUGUGGGAAUUAGAUUUGAGCAAUUUACAAAAAUGAAGACGUGAAUGGAAUUUGGUGCCGAUUGUUUUUUCAAUUAAAUCUUAUGGAUUUAGUGCUCUGUUAAGUUGACCCAUUUUUCUAUAUUUCAUAUCCCUAAUUCAUAACCUCACAAUAAAUCUCAAAUUAGUUUUAAGAAUAACCAUGAAUUUCGUAGUUUGCUUUAGGCGCGUUAUAAUAAAUCAUCAUAACUACGAGUACGGUUUCCGUGACGUAGUUGUGAUAUGUAAUUCUCAAAUCCGGGUGCACAUUUUAUGUGACCCGACCACAACUUCGAACCAUUAAUAAAUUAAAUAUGUUAUAUAUCAUGGGUACGGUUCCCGUGACACAAUUCACAAUGUGUACAAAACAUACAAGUGUACGACAAUCGUAACUUGUUCCAGAAUAAUUUCAUAAAUAAAUAAAUAAAAGCGGUUAAAAGGUUAAAAAUGCACAAUAGGUAUAAAAAAUGUAAUAAAUCAGAUAAAGAGACCAAUUAUUAAUAGUUGAGCAACCAUGCUAAAAUCACGGAACUCGGGAAUGCCUAACACCUUCUCCCGGGUUAACAAAAUUCCUUACCCGAAUUUCUAUAUUUUGCGGACCAUAAAUAGAGUCAAUCUUCCUCGAUUUGAGAUUUUAAACCGGUGAUUUGGGACACUAUAAAUUAUCCCAAGUGGCGACUCUGAUUUUGAAUAAAUAAUUCCGUUUCGGUUUUGUCACUUUAAUUGGAAAAACUCCCUUAUAUACCCCUUUCGGGUAGAAAAAGGAGGUGUGACAGCUCUGGCAACUCUGCUGGGGACAAGAACCCAGAAUCUCUGGUUCAGGGUUCAAGAAUUCGAGCUUAGAAUAAUUGUUAUAUUUGGCUUUUAUUUAUUAUCUGAUUUUUACUACAUGCUUGGGCCUAAUUAAUGGUGUCUAACAAGCCAGGUUUAACCGUAACUGGACCGGCCUAGACUGGUUAAAAUCAGAACCGGCCCGGACCGGUACAAGGGAGCCGGGUGGGGUUGGGUUAGAGGGGUAGGGGGUUUAAUCCGUUCACCUAUUUUUAACCGGUUACUCGGACCGGUCAAACCCGAUCAUCAGAAAUACUAUAGAACCAGUUAAACUGGCCUGGCCCAGACCAGACCAGCCCGACCCAGACCGGUUAACGACUAAUUUCUUUUUUUUAAAAUUGUUGAUUGGCUUAUUUGGUUACCAUUGGCAACAGUCACCUACCAAGGAGUCGUUGCCCAACGGCUGAUUUGCACAAUUAGCCCUUUUUUGGGAUUUAUUUUCAAAAAAUUAACACUUUUUGUAAUUACAAAUUUAACCCUUUUGUAAAACUAUAAAUACACCCCCUCUCUUCUUAUUUCUUCACUCACUCUCAUUUCUCAAUCUCAAUUUCUCAAUUCAAGUUAAAUCAUGCUCCGUACUUCUAGAGUGCGCUCAUAUGUUUGGGAACACUUUGAGGUGGUAGAAAAAAAUGAAGUUCACAAAGUAAAGUGCAAGAAUUGUGGUCGAGUCUUAAAUCUUCGUCCAAAGUGUGGCACAGGCUGUUUAGGGAGGCAUAUGAAGAGUUGUCUUGAGCGUCCUCUAAAAAUUCGUAUUUAAGUUGAUUUGAGACAAUUUGUGUUAUUUUAAAAUUAUUAUACGUAUUUAUGCUUAAUGUUUUAGUUUGUUAGAUUAAUUUGAAGUAUUGUUAUGCAUGAAAAUUUAGUUUUACUUUUUUUUCCGUUAAUUUACUUGUUAAAUGCAAACAUCCAUUUGUAAUUUUGAAAUAAAUGUAGCACUUGCAAUUUAUAAGUGCAAUUUUUCCCAUCUUCAUUUUAUUCUUUAUAUUAAUAUAACUUACAAUAGUUAUACAAAAUACAAAAAAUGUAACGACCCGACCGGUCGUUUUGAGCUUUAGCACUUCGCUCGCUAGUUCUCGGGCAUGACUAGCACCGUGCGGUGUAUUAUGACUUAUAUAAAUCGUCGAUUUUGGUUUUCAGGGUAAUCAGAAUGAAUUUGGAAGAACAGUUCUCAGUCUGAAGCUUAAAAUUUGAAAGGUUGACCAAGUUUUGACUUGUUAGUAUAUGAUCUCGGAUUGGAAUUUUUAUGAUUUUGUUAGCUCCGUUAGGUGAUUUAGGACUUAGGAGCAUGAUCGGAAUGUAUUUUGGAGGUCCGUGGAAGGUUAAGGGUUGAAUUGGCGAAAUGGGCUUUUUGGCAUUUUUCAGUUGAUAGGUGAGAUUUUAAUAUAGGGGUCGGAAUGGAAUUCCGGAAGUUGGAGUAGGUCCGUUGUGUUAUUUGUGACGCAUGGGCAAAAUUUCAGGUCAUUCGGACGAGGUUUGAUAGACCUUUUGAUCGAAUUCAGAAUUCAGAAGUUUUUGGAAUUCUUAUGCUUGAAUCCGAUGUGAUCUUAGUGUUUUGAUGUUGGUUUGAGCGUCCCGAAGGUUGGAUCAAGUUUGAAUGAUGAUAUGAGAUAUGUUGGCAUAUUUGGUUGAGGUCCCGAGAGCCUCGGGUGAGUUUCAGGUGGUUAAACGGAUCAAAUUCUUGUUUUGAAAGUUGCAGAUUUCUUCAGAUCAGUGUUGCAGAGUUUUGCUCUUCGUGUUCGCGAGAGGGCCCUCGCGUUCGCGAAGAGAUGUUGAGUGAGUCAGGCCAGUUACCCUUCGCGUUCGCGAUGUUGGUCCCGCAUUCGUGAAGGUUGAGUCUAAUUGUGCAUCGCGAACGCGUGGCAUGGUUCGCGUUCACGUAGAAGGGUGAAGCAGACUUGGGCACCUGGCCCUAAAGCAUCGCAUUUGCGACUGAAGAAACGUGUUCGUGUAGGCUGAGCUGAGUAAGGCAUCGCGUUCGCGAGGGUAGUGUUCGCGUUCGUGUAAGAGGAAAUUUGAGCUCUGAAUUAUUUUUUCUUCGCGAACGCGAGGCUUUUACAGCGUUCGCGAAGAAGGAAUUUUUGGCUUCAGCAGAAUGUUUAAAUAGCCAUGUUCGCGAUUUUUGGUCUAUCUUUCACCAUUUUUGAGCGAUUUUGGAGCUUUUUGAGUAGGAUUGAAGAGGGAAUCAAAGGGAAACACUUGGAGGUAAGAUUUUUGAACUCAAUACUCUAUCCUAUGUUGAUUCUUACUUGUUUAAACAUGAAAUUUGUGGAAAUUAAAGCCUAAAAUUAGGAAAGGGCUUGAAAUUGGAAAAGUAUAAAUUGGGGAUUUGAGGGGCCAUUUGAUGUUCGAUUUUGAUGUUCUUGGUAUGUAUGGACUCGUGAGAGGAUAUGGAUUUUAUUGAUUUAAUUUUUAUUGGAUUCCGAGACGUGGUCUCGUGGGUCGAGUUUGGCCAAUUUCAGGAUUUUUGCUAUAAAUUGGUUAUUUUCGAGUGGGCUUUAUUUCCUUAGCAUAUUUUGAUGGUAUGAAUCUGCUUUUGGCUAGAUUUGGAAAAUUCGGAGGCCGAGUUGAGAGGCAAAGGCAUCACGGGCUAGAGUUUGGACCAGAUCGAGGUAAGUAAUGAUUGUAAAUAUUUGUCCUGAGGGUAUGAAACCCCGAAUUUUCACAUCUUUGUGCUAUAUUGAGGUGACGCACACGCUAGAUGACAAGCGUGGGGGCGUGCACCGUUGGGGAUUGUGACUUAGUCCGUCCCGUAUGACUGUUUAACCGCAUAUUUGAUUGAAAACUGUUUGCUAUCAUCAUUUUUUGGGCUGAAUGCCAUAUUUGGGCCUCGUGCCAACUGUUUUGGACCCUUAGGGGAUUUUUACUACUAUUCCUCACUGUUUUGACUUCAUAUUUGCUCUCAGUCAUGCUGUAUUCUACUGUUUACAUAACUCAGCCAUAUUUACUCUGUUUUGACAUUUGAAAUAAUAUUUUGGGCUGAGCAUCAUGUUUUAUUAUGCCCAAGUGGCUUUGAGAGAUUUCUGACUAAGUGAGGUCGAGGGCCUAUGUUGUGAGGAUAUUAUGGGAUCGGGAUGCGCGCCACAUCAGUGUGGUACUGAUUUAAGAUUAUGAGGCCGAAGGCCUGAUUUGUUACGCCACGAGGUGGCUUGAUAUGAGGCUGAGAGCCUGUUUGAUUAUGCCAUGAGAUGGCUUGUUAUUGCGCUUGGGCCGUAAGGGGCCCUCCCAGAGUCUGUACACCCCUAGUGAGCGCGGGUACCCUGAGUGAGUGAUAUAUUGAUUAUGCCAUGAGAUGGCUUGUUAUUGCGCUUGAGUCCUACGGGGCCCCUCCUGGAGUCUGUACACCCCCAGUGAGCGCGGGUACAUAGUGUGAGAUGUGGUAUAGCCCGAGGGGCUGAUGUUGUUCUAUUUUAUUGCCUGAGGGGAGGUUCUUGAUUUAUGUUAUGCCCGAGGGGCUGAUUACGAGUGAUUGUGAGGUAGCCCGAGGGGCUGGUUCUGUUAAUAUUAUGCCCGAGGGGCGGUUUAUGGUACAUGUUUUGCCCGAGGGGCUGUUUACAUUUCUAUCAUGUUUACUCACUAUUUUUUCACUCGUUUGAAACUAUUGAAAAUUUGUUUUAAAAGGUUUUACCAAAACUGAGCAUGAUUUAUGAAGUAAAUGAUUUCUGUACUGUGUUGGAAAUAUCCUGCAUUUGUUGUAGCGUUUGACGUGGCUUACGUAUUUUCUUACUGCUCAACUUUCAUUUACCUUUAUUACUUAUUUAGUUGGAGUACUCACAUUACUCCCUGCACCUUGUGAGCAGAUUCAGGUAUUUCAGAACCCGGUAGCAGGUGUUGAUUGUUCAGUGGUAGAGUCAUCGGAGUUAGAAAGGUAGCUGCCCGACGUCCGCAUCACUGCUUUUCUCCCUCUUGUUUUCAUUAGACUGUAUUUAGUACAUUUUCAGAAUUUUUUGUUGUAUUCAGACCUUAGUUGAUGCUCGUGACUUGUGAGACCGCGAUGUUGGGCUUAUGUAUUUAUUCCGCACUAAUCAUUUAGACUUACAUUAUGAGAUAUCUGAUUAAUUAAAGGCUUAAAAAUGAUUAUUAUUAAUUAAAUAGUUAAUUCGGGAGUUGUGUCGGCUGGCCUAGUUUCACGAUAGGUGCCAUCACGACCGGGUUACUUUUAGGGUCAUGACAAGUUGGCAUCAAAGCCUAGGUUUUAUAGGUCUCACGAGUCAUGAGCAGGUUUAGUAGAGUCUCGCGGAUCGGUACGGAGACGUCUGUACUUAUCCUCGGGAGGCUGCAAAACCUUUAGGAAAAACUUCACAUUCUUGAAUUCUUAUCGUGCAUCCUUGAUUCAGCUUGAAAUGUAACUCUUUGAAUUCCUUCCAUGCGUUCGUACACGCGCAUGAGCGCUCGAUAUCAGUUGUGCAUCAACGGCUUGUGAUUUCCUGAUCGAGGGGUGAGAUAUGAUUUAUGUGUCUUGAUGUUGGGCCAGUAUGGAGGACUUGAGGCCGAGUUUUGCCUGUAGCUUGAGCACUGAGGCGUUGAUUAUGUGAGUACGUGCUUUUGGAUUCAUGUUUUCGGUAGUAUCCCUAUUAGUGGAAGUGAUGGCUGGAUGGCUAUGUGAUGAGUAUGAUGUGACUGCUAGAUGUGUUCAUACGAUUUGAAUGAGAUGAGAAUGGCGUGCUUGGUGAUGAGUGGUGAUGUUACCACUCAUUCUAGUCUCUUUUCUUUAGCUUUUAUGUCCUUUAACUAUAAUAUGAGGUCGUUUAUGGUGUGUAUUGCUAGAUUUUCAGGUAAAUGAUGCCAUGAAAUGAUUUGAAUUCAAUUGGAGUGGAAUUGAACAAAAGGGGUGAAAACCAUGCAAAACUCCCAUGUGAUUCCGCAUCUGCGGAAGGUUGGUCUCAUAACCCUGCUUCUGCAUGAAAAGUCCCGCUUCUGCAAAGUUGUCUGACCUUGCAAGAAACUGCAUCUGCGGUUAGAUUACUGCUUAUGCUGUUGCGCAUCUGCGCCGGGUAAACCACAUCUGUGGUGAUAGAGUUUAGUUGACAUUUCGCUUCUGCGAUGGGAUCUCCGCAUCUGGGGAGCCGCACCUGCGAGGAUUCUUCCGCAGGUGCGGUCAACAGACCUGGGCAAUUCAGGCAUUUCAUAUGUUCUCAACUUCAAACUAUUUUUAUACACGACCUAGCAGAUAUUUUGAGGAUCUUUGACUUAUUUUCAGUUCUUAGAACUAGAGAGAACAGGUGGAAGCUAGGGUUUUGCACACACACUUGNN